Podarcis lilfordi (Lilford's wall lizard) is the source of this 69-nucleotide non-coding RNA. The record is from the annotation of a GenBank genome assembly. NCBI's taxonomy places the organism in Eukaryota, Metazoa, Chordata, Lepidosauria, Squamata, Lacertidae.
GCACUGGCUUAGUGUUUGAACAUCUGCCUUGCAAGCAGAAUGCUCCAGGUUCAAUCUCCGGCAUCUGCA